Molecule: unclassified non-coding RNA, 443 nt
Filed under: uncultured Nostocaceae cyanobacterium
Lineage: Bacteria; Bacillati; Cyanobacteriota; Cyanophyceae; Nostocales; Nostocaceae
Description: partial contains 16S ribosomal RNA and 16S-23S ribosomal RNA intergenic spacer
Rfam family: Bacterial small subunit ribosomal RNA (bases 1-120)
Source: RNAcentral
GCCACGCCCGAAGUCGUUACCCCAACCGAAAGGGGGGGGAUGCCUAAGGUAGGACUGAUGACUGGGGUGAAGUCGUAACAAGGUAGCCGUACCGGAAGGUGUGGCUGGAUCACCUCCUUUUAGGGAGACCUAAUCCAUUUAGAAAUCGAAAACAAUGAAAAUUGUCAAUAGAAACUAAAGUGGUCUAACCUAGGUCGUUCGAGAUUGGUAGAUAUCUUUCAAAGUAUUAUUCGGCUUCGUUCAAAACCAUAUAUAAUAAAUGGAAAAAGACAGCACCUAAUUGAAAAAGUUAGACUGCUGGAUGAAAUUCCAGCCAGAACCUUGAAAACUGCAUAAGAGAACGAGAAAAAGCAGGCAGACACAGACAUUUAGAUGGAUGUGAAAGCAAAGAAAUUGUGGUCAAGCUAAUAAGGGCUAAUGGUGGAUACCUAGGCACACAGAGG